Molecule: ribosomal RNA, 490 nt
Filed under: uncultured bacterium
Lineage: Bacteria
Description: partial 16S ribosomal RNA
Rfam family: Bacterial small subunit ribosomal RNA
Source: RNAcentral
AUUGAACGCUGGCGGCAUGCCUUACACAUGCAAGUCGAACGGCAGCAUGAUCUAGCUUGCUAGAUUGAUGGCGAGUGGCGAACGGGUGAGUAAUACAUCGGAACGUGCCCUGUAGUGGGGGAUAACUAGUCGAAAGAUUAGCUAAUACCGCAUACGACCUGCGGGUGAAAGUGGGGGACCGCAAGGCCUCAUGCUAUAGGAGCGGCCGAUGUCUGAUUAGCUAGUUGGUGAGGUAAAGGCUCACCAAGGCGACGAUCAGUAGCUGGUCUGAGGGGACGAUCGGCCACACUAGAACUGAGACACGGCCCAGACUCCUACGGGAGGCAGCAGUGGGGAAUUUUGGACAAUGGGCGAGAGCCUGAUCCAGCAAUGCCGCGUGUGUGAAGAAGGCCUUCGGGUUGUAAAGCACUUUUGUCCGGAAAGAAAUGGCUCUGGUUAAUACCUGGGGUCGAUGACGGUACCGGAAGAAGAAGGACCGGCUAACUACGUG